AAUUCGUUGCACUAUCGUUAACUGAAUACAUAGGUUAACGAGGCGAACCGGGGGAACUGAAACAUCUAAGUACCCCGAGGAAAAGAAAUCAACCGAGAUUCCCCCAGUAGCGGCGAGCGAACGGGGAGCAGCCCAGAGUCUGAAUCAGCUUGUGUGUUAGUGGAACGGUCUGGAAAGUCCGACGGUACAGGGUGAUAGUCCCGUACACCAAAAUGCACAGGUUGUGAACUCGAAGAGUAGGGCGGGACACGUGGUAUCCUGUCUGAAUAUGGGGGGACCAUCCUCCAAGGCUAAAUACUCCUGACUGACCGAUAGUGAACCAGUACCGUGAGGGAAAGGCGAAAAGAACCCCGGCGAGGGGAGUGAAAAAGAACCUGAAACCGUGUACGUACAAGCAGUGGGAGCACCUUCGGGUGUGACUGCGUACCUUUUGUAUAAUGGGUCAGCGACUUAUAUUCUGUAGCAAGGUUAACCGUAUAGGGGAGCCGCAGGGAAACCGAGUCUUAACUGGGCGUUAAGUUGCAGGGUAUAGACCCGAAACCCGGUGAUCUAGCCAUGGGCAGGUUGAAGGUUGGGUAACACUAACUGGAGGACCGAACCGACUAAUGUUGAAAAAUUAGCGGAUGACUUGUGGCUGGGGGUGAAAGGCCAAUCAAACCGGGAGAUAGCUGGUUCUCCCCGAAAGCU
RNAcentral lists this ribosomal RNA (687 nucleotides) under Klebsiella aerogenes. RNAcentral describes it as "partial 23S ribosomal RNA". It matches the Rfam family "Bacterial large subunit ribosomal RNA", at positions 137 to 867 of the family's 2925-position model. Lineage: Bacteria; Pseudomonadati; Pseudomonadota; Gammaproteobacteria; Enterobacterales; Enterobacteriaceae. RNAcentral also lists the same sequence under 2 other names. The record is from RNAcentral.